AGGAGGGUGAGUGAAAAUAUUUCCGUUCCUGACCUGAUGACAGCCUGUUUGUUGGGGUCGUAGAGGGACAUGAAGAGUUCGGCGUCCUCUCCGAUGCGGCACACGAAGUUACGGACGAAGACGUAGAGACUGCCACCGAGGUGUGAGAGGGGGCUGAAGUGCUGACCUUCGCAUGACUCCUCUAUGUGGACGGUGUCGCCCACCUCCAGAGCAAGGUGCUUCUCCCCACUGCCUCUGAAGUUCCACUUAACUGAGAGCCACAGGAGCCCACGGAGGAGAUGAGGGAGGAGAGGACCGAGAAAAUUCAGGAAGGUGGAUGUGAUGGCGACCACUGGGUAGUUGCCGUUUUUCUGAAAGCCGACUACACCCUCCCUAUAGGUCGGUUGGCCUGCGGUGACCACGUGACACCCCACAUCCUGUCCAUUUCUUAUCGCGCAACUGAGAGGCAAAGCCUCUCCACCAAUGUAUUCAAUGUCGCCUGCACCAGUGAACAAAUGGGAGUAUCUUCUGUACCAAUUCAUAGAAGAAGAGCUGACAGCACCCGUGCGAAGAUGAGUGGGAGCUGGCUGUGUUCUUGACGAGCGGUUGACUGGUCAGCCGAUUAAUUGCGAGACACAUCGACACCACGAACGUGGUCCCCCCCCGACUCGUAGACGGAGUUGAGUUGCGGUGUUCGGGUGUGCCUGGGGAGGGAGACAUGGCGUCUGACACGGUGCUUAAAGUGCUCUUGGGGAUCGCCCUGGGGCUGAUAAUCCUGAUGACGGUGGUGGGGAACGUGGUGGUGUGCCUGGCCGUCGGUGCCAGCCGGCGGCUGAGGUGCGUGACGAACUGCUUCAUCGUGUCGCUGGCGGUAGCCGACCUGCUCCUGGGCCUGCUGGUGCUGCCGCUGUCCGCCAUGCUGGAGCUGAUGGGGGGCCGCUGGCCCCUGGGGGCCACCUUCUGCAACAUCUACGUCAGCCUGGACGUCAUGCUGUGCACCGCCUCCAUCCUCAACCUGUUCGCCAUCAGCGUGGACCGCUACGUGGCCGUCACCGUCCCGCUGCGCUACCCGGGGCUGGUGACGCCCGCGCGCGUCGCCGUGGCGAUGGCGUUCAUCUGGGCCGUGUCGCUGCUGCUGUCCUUCCUGCCCAUCCAGCUGGGCUGGAACACGCCGGACCUGGAGGUGCAGAACCGGCGCGGCCGCAACCAGUCGCGCUGCCUCCUGGAGCUCAACCGCGGCUACGCGCUGUUCGACGCCCUCGCCACCUUCUACCUCCCGCUGCUGGUCAUGUGCGGGACGUACUACCGCAUCUUCCGGAUCGCGCGCGGGCAGGCGCGCCGCAUCAACAGCCGGCCGUCCUCGCUCAGCCUGGCGGCCUCCGUGCGCGAGCACAAGGCCACGGCCACGCUGGCGGCCGUGCUGGGCGCCUUCAUAGUCUGCUGGGUGCCCUACUUCACCUACUUCACCUACAUCGGCUGGCGUGAGGGCGACGGCUACUCGCCCACCACCUUCUCCGUCGUGCUGUGGCUGGGCUACGCCAACUCCACGCUGAACCCCAUCCUCUACGCCGCGCUCAACCGGGACUUCCGCAGCGCGUACGGCCGGCUGCUCUGCCGGAGGGUGUGCCCCGCGCCCCUCUCCCACCUCAGCGUGCCCAGCCCCGGGGACUUCGUGCUCCUGUGCGCCCACACCAACGGCUGCCGGGAGAGGCCCACCAUCGAGGCCGGCCAGAUGCUCCAGGAGAGAAACACGAACGGCAGCGCUAUCGCCGGCCAGGCUCACCAGACAGAUCCUUGCCUCUCCUCCUGACGUCUGUCUGCACCUGUCUGACUGUGCGUAUCGGCUGCCAAUCUCCUCAGUCCCGACGCUGAACACGAGCCAAGGAAGCAGCACAUCAGCUGAGUCCACAUCUGUGGGAGGAGCUUUCGACAAACCUCAGAUGAACCAAUCGGUAUCACUGAAAAUAGCCUGAGACAGACCUCAGAAGGGAUCAGCACCGCUGACCUAAUCCUAGGAUGUGACUGGACUAGAGUGACUCAAAACAAGAAGACCAGUGAGGUUAAUGGUGUCUCUACUACAUAUAUCUGCAGUCAAUGGCUGUCACUGCUGGUACAGUGAUAAUUCCAGAUGCUUCAGAGAAAAAACUCAUUCUACUCAGUCUGCAGCUGAACUGAUAGUUCUUCCAAGAAUAAUAAUGAAAAAAAAGCUCUAGGUUUAAGACCAUGAGACUGCCUAACCUGUGAGAAGCCUGCCCUCUAGUGGAAGAUCUCAGUUUACACCACAAAGGGAUCGA
Molecule: RNA transcript, 2273 nt
Organism: Conger conger (European conger)
Lineage: Eukaryota; Metazoa; Chordata; Actinopteri; Anguilliformes; Congridae
Gene name: histamine H2 receptor-like
Exons: 5
Source: RefSeq, a predicted model, not a curated record